UGGGGGAUAUUGCACAAUGGGCGAAAGCCUGAUGCAGCGACGCCGCGUGGGGGAUGAAGGCCUUCGGGUUGUAAACUUCUUUUGCUCUGAACAAGGCGCACCAUGGGGUGUGUUGAGUGUAGGGGUUGAUUAGCGCCGGCUAACUACGUGCCAGCAGCCGCGGUAAUACGUAGGGCGCGAGCGUUGUCCGGAAUUAUUGGGCGUAAAGGGCUUGUAGGUGGCUGGUUGCGUCUGUCGUGAAAGCUCAUGGCUUAACUGUGGGUUUGCGGUGGGUACGGGCUGGCUUGAGUGCAGUAGGGGGAGCUGGAAUUCCUGGUGUAGCGGUGGAAUGCGCAGAUAUCAGGAGGAAUACCGGUGACGAAGGCGGGUCUCUGGGCUGUUACUGACACUGAGGAGCGAAAGCAUGGGGAGCGAACAGG
This 419-nucleotide ribosomal RNA is filed under the name bacterium. RNAcentral describes it as "partial 16S ribosomal RNA". It matches the Rfam family "Bacterial small subunit ribosomal RNA", at positions 355 to 776 of the family's 1533-position model. The record is from RNAcentral.